GCAUUGGGGGCGGCUAAUACAUGCAGUCGAGCGAACAGAUAAGGAGCUUGCUCCUUUGACGUUAGCGGCGGACGGGUGAGUAACACGUGGGUAACCUACCUAUAAGACUGGAAUAACUCCGGGAAACCGGGGCUAAUGCCGGAUAACAUUUAGAACCGCAUGGUUCUAAAGUGAAAGAUGGUUUUGCUAUCACUUAUAGAUGGACCCGCGCCGUAUUAGCUAGUUGGUAAGGUAAUGGCUUACCAAGGCAACGAUACGUAGCCGACCUGAGAGGGUGAUCGGCCACACUGGAACUGAGACACGGUCCAGACUCCUACGGGAGGCAGCAGUAGGGAAUCUUCCGCAAUGGGCGAAAGCCUGACGGAGCAACGCCGCGUGAGUGAUGAAGGGUUUCGGCUCGUAAAACUCUGUUAUUAGGGAAGAACAAACGUGUAAGUAACUGUGCACGUCUUGACGGUACCUAAUCAGAAAGCCACGGCUAACUACGUGCCAGCAGCCGCGGUAAUACGUAGGUGGCAAGCGUUAUCCGGAAUUAUUGGGCGUAAAGCGCGCGUAGGCGGUUUCUUAAGUCUGAUGUGAAAGCCCACGGCUCAACCGUGGAGGGUCAUUGGAAACUGGGAGACUUGAGUGCAGAAGAGGAAAGUGGAAUUCCAUGUGUAGCGGUGAAAUGCGCAGAGAUAUGGAGGAACACCAGUGGCGAAGGCGACUUUCUGGUCUGUAACUGACGCUGAUGUGCGAAAGCGUGGGGAUCAAACAGGAUUAGAUACCCUGGUAGUCCACGCCGUAAACGAUGAGUGCUA
RNAcentral lists this ribosomal RNA (800 nucleotides) under Staphylococcus sp. JSM 2215086. RNAcentral's name for it is "bacterial SSU rRNA". It matches the Rfam family "Bacterial small subunit ribosomal RNA", at positions 33 to 818 of the family's 1533-position model. The record is from RNAcentral. Lineage: Bacteria; Bacillati; Bacillota; Bacilli; Caryophanales; Staphylococcaceae.